AUUGAACGCUGGCGGCAUGCCUUACACAUGCAAGUCGAACGGCAGCGGGGACUUCGGUCCGCCGGCGAGUGGCGAACGGGUGAGUAAUGUAUCGGAACGUACCAUUGAGUGGGGGAUAACGUAGCGAAAGUUACGCUAAUACCGCAUAUUCUCUCCGGAGGAAAGCAGGGGACCGCAAGGCCUUGCGCUCUUUGAGCGGCCGAUAUCAGAUUAGCUAGUUGGUGAGGUAAAGGCUCACCAAGGCGACGAUCUGUAGCGGGUCUGAGAGGAUGAUCCGCCACACUGGAACUGAGACACGGUCCAGACUCCUACGGGAGGCAGCAGUGGGGAAUUUUGGACAAUGGGGGCAACCCUGAUCCAGCCAUGCCGCGUGAGUGAAGAAGGCCUUCGGGUUGUAAAGCUCUUUCGGCCGGGAAAAAAUCGCAUGGGCUAAUACCCUGUGUGGAUGAUGGUACCGGAAUAAGAAGCACCGGCUAACUACGUGCCAGCAGCCGCCGUAA
This 500-nucleotide ribosomal RNA is filed under the name uncultured bacterium. RNAcentral describes it as "partial 16S ribosomal RNA". It matches the Rfam family "Bacterial small subunit ribosomal RNA", at positions 30 to 523 of the family's 1533-position model. The record is from RNAcentral.